Myotis brandtii (Brandt's bat) is the source of this 74-nucleotide non-coding RNA. The record is from Rfam. Lineage: Eukaryota; Metazoa; Chordata; Mammalia; Chiroptera; Vespertilionidae.
GCCCUAGUUUCUCAGUGGUUAGAGCAUCCACCUGUGGACCAAAGGAUUAUGGGUUCAAUUCCCAGUCAAGGGCA